Molecule: ribosomal RNA, 327 nt
Filed under: Vibrio parahaemolyticus
Lineage: Bacteria; Pseudomonadati; Pseudomonadota; Gammaproteobacteria; Vibrionales; Vibrionaceae
Description: bacterial SSU rRNA
Rfam family: Bacterial small subunit ribosomal RNA
Source: RNAcentral
UGGAAACGAUGGCUAAUACCGCAUGAUGCCUACGGGCCAAAGAGGGGGACCUUCGGGCCUCUCGCGUCAGGAUAUGCCUAGGUGGGAUUAGCUAGUUGGUGAGGUAAGGGCUCACCAAGGCGACGAUCCCUAGCUGGUCUGAGAGGAUGAUCAGCCACACUGGAACUGAGACACGGUCCAGACUCCUACGGGAGGCAGCAGUGGGGAAUAUUGCACAAUGGGCGCAAGCCUGAUGCAGCCAUGCCGCGUGUGUGAAGAAGGCCUUCGGGUUGUAAAGCACUUUCAGUCGUGAGGAAGGUAGUGUAGUUAAUAGCUGCAUUAUUUGAC